RNAcentral lists this unclassified non-coding RNA (330 nucleotides) under soil metagenome. Its description in RNAcentral is "partial contains 5.8S ribosomal RNA, internal transcribed spacer 2, and large subunit ribosomal RNA". The stretch from base 1 to 120 matches the Rfam family "5.8S ribosomal RNA", at positions 35 to 154 of the family's 154-position model. The record is from RNAcentral.
GAUGAAGAACGUAGCGAAAUGCGAUAAGUAGUGUGAAUUGCAGAAUUCCGUGAAUCAUCGAAUCUUUGAACGCACAUUGCGCCCUCUGGUAUUCCGGGGGGCAUGCCUGUUCGAGCGUCAUUACAACCCUCAAGCUUUGCUUGGUAUUGGACAUUGCCAGUUUCUGGCAGGUCUUAAAAUCAGUGGCGGUGCCAUUUGGCUUCAAGCGUAGUAAUUCUUCUCGCUUUGGAGAUCCAAGUGGUUACUUGCCAAUAACCCCCAAUUUUUUCAGGUUGACCUCGGAUCAGGUAGGGAUACCCGCUGAACUUAAGCAUAUCAAUAAGCGGAGGA